This 479-nucleotide ribosomal RNA is filed under the name uncultured bacterium. Its description in RNAcentral is "bacterial SSU rRNA". It matches the Rfam family "Bacterial small subunit ribosomal RNA", at positions 328 to 793 of the family's 1533-position model. The record is from RNAcentral.
UGACAGUACUCCUACGGGGAGGCAGCAGUGGGGGAAUAUUGCACAAUGGGCGCAAGCCUGAUGCAGCCAUGCCGCGUGUGUGAAGAAGGCCUUCGGGUUGUUAAAGCACUUUCAGUCGUGAGGAAGGUAGUGUAGUUAAUAGCUGCAGUAUUUGACGUUAGCGACAGAAGAAGCACCGGCUAACUCCGUGCCAGCAGCCGCGGUAAUACGGAGGGUGCGAGCGUUAAUCGGAAUUACUGGGCGUAAAGCGCAUGCAGGUGGUUUGUUAAGUCAGAUGUGAAAGACCCGGGGCUCAACCUCGGAAUAGCAUUUGAAACUGGCAGACUAGAGUACUGUAGAGGGGGGUAGGAAUUUCAGGUGUAGCGGUGAAAUGCGUAGAGAUCUGAAGGAAUACCGGUGGCGAAGGCGGCCCCCUCGGACAGAUACUGACACUCAGAUGCGAAAGCGUGGGGAGCAAACAGGAUUAGAUACCCUGGUAG